RNAcentral lists this ribosomal RNA (632 nucleotides) under Sphingomonas sp. WD2. RNAcentral describes it as "bacterial SSU rRNA". It matches the Rfam family "Bacterial small subunit ribosomal RNA", at positions 55 to 732 of the family's 1533-position model. The record is from RNAcentral. Lineage: Bacteria; Pseudomonadati; Pseudomonadota; Alphaproteobacteria; Sphingomonadales; Sphingomonadaceae.
AUGCAGUCGAACGAGUGCCUUCGGGUGCUAGUGGCGCACGGGUGCGUAACGCGUGGGAAUCUGCCUUUCGGUACGGAAUAACUCAGGGAAACUUGUGCUAAUACCGUAUGAUGUCGCGAGACCAAAGAUUUAUCGCCGAAAGAUGAGCCCGCGUAGGAUUAGCUAGUUGGUGGGGUAAAGGCCUACCAAGGCGACGAUCCUUAGCUGGUCUGAGAGGAUGAUCAGCCACACUGGGACUGAGACACGGCCCAGACUCCUACGGGAGGCAGCAGUGGGGAAUAUUGGACAAUGGGCGAAAGCCUGAUCCAGCAAUGCCGCGUGAGUGAUGAAGGCCUUAGGGUUGUAAAGCUCUUUUACCCGGGAAGAUAAUGACUGUACCGGGAGAAUAAGCCCCGGCUAACUCCGUGCCAGCAGCCGCGGUAAUACGGAGGGGGCUAGCGUUGUUCGGAAUUACUGGGCGUAAAGCGUACGUAGGCGGCUUUGUAAGUUAGAGGUGAAAGCCUGAUGCUCAACAUCAGAAUUGCCUUUAAGACUGCAUCGCUUGAACGUCGGAGAGGUGAGUGGAAUUCCGAGUGUAGAGGUGAAAUUCGUAGAUAUUCGGAAGAACACCAGUGGCGAAGGCGGCUCACUGG